GCCUCUGUGGCGGAAUUGGUAGACGCGUCAGACUCAAAAUCUGAUGUCCAUUACGGAUGUGCUGGUUCGAUUCCAGUCGGAGGCACCA
Molecule: transfer RNA, 88 nt
Filed under: Candidatus Nomurabacteria bacterium
Lineage: Bacteria; Candidatus Nomuraibacteriota
Description: tRNA-Leu
Rfam family: tRNA
About the family: Transfer RNA (tRNA) molecules are approximately 80 nucleotides in length. Their secondary structure includes four short double-helical elements and three loops (D, anti-codon, and T loops). Further hydrogen bonds mediate the characteristic L-shaped molecular structure. tRNAs have two regions of fundamental functional importance: the anti-codon, which is responsible for specific mRNA codon recognition, and the 3' end, to which the tRNAs corresponding amino acid is attached (by aminoacyl-tRNA synthetases). tRNAs cope with the degeneracy of the genetic code in two manners: having more than one tRNA (with a specific anti-codon) for a particular amino acid; and 'wobble' base-pairing, i.e. permitting non-standard base-pairing at the 3rd anti-codon position.
Source: RNAcentral